CUAAGUUUGAUGGCGACCGGCGCACGGGUGAGUAACACGUAUCCAACCUGCCGAUGACUCGGGGAUAGCCUUUCGAAAGAAAGAUUAAUACCCGAUGGCAUAGUUCUUCCGCAUGGUAGAACUAUUAAAGAAUUUCGGUCAUCGAUGGGGAUGCGUUCCAUUAGGUUGUUGGCGGGGUAACGGCCCACCAAGCCUUCGAUGGACAGGGGUUCUGAGAGGAAGGUCCCCCACAUUGGAACUGAGACACGGUCCAAACUCCUACGGGAGGCAGCAUG
RNAcentral lists this ribosomal RNA (275 nucleotides) under uncultured bacterium. Its description in RNAcentral is "partial 16S ribosomal RNA". It matches the Rfam family "Bacterial small subunit ribosomal RNA", at positions 79 to 353 of the family's 1533-position model. The record is from RNAcentral.